GGUGGCUCAGUGGUAGAGUGCUUGCCUUGCAUGCAUGAGGCCCUGGGUUCAAAUCUUCAGCACCA
This is a non-coding RNA of Dipodomys ordii (Ord's kangaroo rat), 65 nucleotides long. The record is from Rfam. Lineage: Eukaryota; Metazoa; Chordata; Mammalia; Rodentia; Heteromyidae.